UACGGGGGGUGCGAGCGUUGUCCGGAAUUAUUGGGCGUAAAGGGCGCGUAGGCGGCCCGGUAAGUCAAAGGUGAAAUCCCUCGGCUCAACUGAGGAACUGCCUUUGAAACUGUCGGGCUUGAGGCCGGGAGGGGGUAGCGGAAUUCCCAGUGUAGCGGUGAAAUGCGUAGAUAUUGGGAGGAACACCAGUGGCGAAGGCGGCUACCUGGACCGGUUCUGACGCUGAUGCGCGAAAGCGUGGGUAGCAAACAGG
Molecule: ribosomal RNA, 253 nt
Filed under: uncultured bacterium
Lineage: Bacteria
Description: partial 16S ribosomal RNA
Rfam family: Bacterial small subunit ribosomal RNA
Source: RNAcentral